GAUGAACGCUGGCGGCGUGCCUAAUACAUGCAAGUCGAGCGAACGGACGAGAAGCUUGCUUCUCUGAUGUUAGCGGCGGACGGGUGAGUAACACGUGGAUAACCUACCUAUAAGACUGGGAUAACUUCGGGAAACCGGAGCUAAUACCGGAUAAUAUUUUGAACCGCAUGGUUCAAAAGUGAAAGACGGUCUUGCUGUCACUUAUAGAUGGAUCCGCGCUGCAUUAGCUAGUUGGUAAGGUAACGGCUUACCAAGGCAACGAUGCAUAGCCGACCUGAGAGGGUGAUCGGCCACACUGGAACUGAGACACGGUCCAGACUCCUACGGGAGGCAGCAGUAGGGAAUAUUGCGCAAUGGGCGAAAGCCUGACGGAGCAACGCCGCGUGAGUGAUGAAGGUCUUCGGAUCGUAAAACUCUGUUAUUAGGGAAGAACAUAUGUGUAAGUAACUGUGCACAUCUUGACGGUACCUAAUCAGAAAGCCACGGCUAACUACGUG
This 497-nucleotide ribosomal RNA is filed under the name uncultured bacterium. Its description in RNAcentral is "partial 16S ribosomal RNA". It matches the Rfam family "Bacterial small subunit ribosomal RNA", at positions 28 to 507 of the family's 1533-position model. The record is from RNAcentral.